Lemur catta (Ring-tailed lemur) is the source of this 432-nucleotide long non-coding RNA. RefSeq lists it as uncharacterized. Lineage: Eukaryota; Metazoa; Chordata; Mammalia; Primates; Lemuridae. The record is from RefSeq and is a predicted model, not a curated record. The transcript is spliced from 3 exons.
GCCUGAGCCCACUCGGAGAUCGGCCCUCAGGGCAAAGUGAGGCGUGAGGACCGAGCGCAGGUGCAAGUCCUGCCCUCGUGAGGACGGCCUUCUGGCGGGAGCACAGGUGGGAACACACAGGUUCUCGGCUCGCCCUGCGUGUCUCUGCCUGGCAGCAACCAGCACCCUGUGUGUGGGUGCCCUGGCCUGGGCCCCUCUCACCGACCUCUUCCGUCUACGGGCAAAGCGUCAAGCACCUCGAGUGCGCCCUAGCCCAGGGAGCUGUGCGGGACGAGCUGUGUUGCCAGACCAUUGAGAAACGGCUGGGGGGCUGCUGUGCUUGGCAGGAGCUUGUGUCUCCCGGCUGGUGACAGCCCCGGGCCCUGCAGGCAACACCGGGCGUCUUGCCACCGCUGCAGGCAGGGACGGUUCGUGCGUCCUGGAGAUGGAGGG